GAUAUUAUCACUUUCAUCAAAGUAAAGGACAGUUCUUUUCUCUUUUAACUUCAGCUGUCUGUCUCUGCUAUCUCUCGGAGUGAUAGAUUUUCCAGGUGAUGGUCGUGUUUUCUCUUUCGUGCUGCUUGGGGACUUCACAGGAAGAAACACAGAUGAAGGGUUGUGACACGACAAGAGGUUAUCUGAUAAGUUUCUUGGCUGGAUGUUAUCACUUUCAUUGAAGUAUAGGACAGUUCUUUUCUCUUUUAGCUUCAGCUGUCUGUCUCUGCUCUCUCUUGGACUGACAGAUUUUCCAGGUGAUGAUCGUGUUUUCUCUUUCGUGCUGCUCGGUGACUUCACAGGAAGAAACACAGAUGAAGGGUUGUGACAUAAAAGGAGGUAUGGUUGCAAAUGUUGAUGCCUUAACAACUCGGCAGCCUAUAAAUUGAGGUAAAAAUCAUAUCAAGAUGAAUCUCAAUUCAAUACCAAUUUGUUUGUAGAGUUUAAGAAAGUGAAAGAAGAUUUCUGAAUCUUGUGGUCUUAAACUAAAGAUAUGCAGAAUGUACUAAAAUGUCAUUUUAUCUUGUCGUCUUAAACUCGUAAUGUGGAAAGUUAGAAAUAAAAAGUUGACAAAAAAGAAGAGGCAUUCCUUUUUAAAUGUACUUAUAAAGGAAAGAAAGAAAAACAAAUUGAAAGGGAGGGAAUAACACAUUUGAACAUAUACAGCUUGCACUCACUGUAGGUCUGUGUUCUGGAUUUUUCCUUAGCAUGCUUUUGAUUAUCUGUUUCCUGCAAGAAUUAAAUCCGCUUUGUCAAUUGAAUGAUUUGUUAUACUUGUAGCAUGACGAGAAGAAAGAAACUUACAAGGUGGAGGAGUAUAUAAUCGGAAUUGGUGAGAACAAACCCCGGUUUAUUUUGUUGAUAAGUGCAGUCUUGUCCUGUUGGAUUUGUAUCUUGUCAGCAAAUCAUAUAGAAAACAUCAGAAUAAAGAAUGUCUACAUUUUUAUCAUAACAAGGAUAACUUUUCAAGGUAUUGUUUACAAAGUUCAGAUAGCUGAAAAUUCAACUUACAGCAGCUCUAAAUGGUGGUUGAUGUGCAGAAAUCUCAAACAUGCAGCAUCCUAAAAUC
Molecule: long non-coding RNA, 1108 nt
Filed under: Solanum melongena (eggplant)
Lineage: Eukaryota; Viridiplantae; Streptophyta; Magnoliopsida; Solanales; Solanaceae
Description: long non-coding RNA (SMEL_LNC000211)
Source: RNAcentral